GAUCAUGGCUCAGGAUGAACGCUAGCGACAGGCUUAACACAUGCAAGUCGAGGGGCAGCAUAAAAGUAGCAAUACUUGGUGGCGACCGGCGCACGGGUGAGUAACGCGUAUGCAACCUACCUAUCAGAGGGGAAUAACCCGGCGAAAGUCGGACUAAUACCGCAUAAAACAGGGGCACCGCAUGGUGAUAUUUGUUAAAGAAAUUCGCUGAUAGAUGGGCAUGCGUUCCAUUAGGUAGUUGGUGAGGUAACGGCUCACCAAGCCGACGAUGGAUAGGGAACUGAGAGGUUGGUCCCCCACACUGGUACUGAGACACGGACCAGACUCCUACGGGAGGCAGCAGUGAGGAAUAUUGGUCAAUGGGCGGGAGCCUGAACCAGCCAAGUCGCGUGGAAAAGGAAGAAGGAUCUAUGGUUACGUAAACUUCUUUUGCAGGGGAAUAAAGUGCAGGACGUGUCCUGUUUUGUAUGUACCCUGAGAAUAAGGAUCGGCUAACUCCGUGCCAGCCGCAGC
RNAcentral lists this ribosomal RNA (513 nucleotides) under uncultured bacterium. RNAcentral describes it as "bacterial SSU rRNA". It matches the Rfam family "Bacterial small subunit ribosomal RNA", at positions 15 to 518 of the family's 1533-position model. The record is from RNAcentral.